Molecule: ribosomal RNA, 509 nt
Filed under: uncultured bacterium
Lineage: Bacteria
Description: bacterial SSU rRNA
Rfam family: Bacterial small subunit ribosomal RNA
Source: RNAcentral
AGAGUUGAUCAUGGCUCAGGACGAACGCUGGCGGCGUGCUUAACACAUGCAAGUCGAACGGAGCUUAAGGAAGAGCUUGCUCUGAGAUAAGCUUAGUGGCGGACGGGUGAGUAACGCGUGAGGAACCUGGUUUACACAGGGGGAUAACGGCCCGAAAGGGUUGCUAAUACCGCAUAAGACCACAACACCGCAUGAUGAAGGGGUCAAAGGAGAAAUCCGGUGUAAAAUGGACUCGCGUCCCAUUAGGCAGUUGGUGAGGUAACGGCCCACCAAACCGACGAUGGGUAGCCGACCUGAGAGGGUGAUCGGCCACAUUGGAACUGAGAGACGGUCCAAACUCCUACGGGAGGCAGCAGUGGGGAAUAUUGGGCAAUGGGCGCAAACGCCUGACCCAGCAACGCCGCGUGAGGGAAGUAAGGUUUUCGGAUUGUAAACCUCUGUCCUUGAUAGAAAAGCAGGAGAUGGUAAUUAAGGAGGACGGCCCCGGCUAACUACGUGCCAGCCGCCGC